UAGUCUAUAUCUUAAUGGUAAAGAGAUCGAUUGAUAAUCGAUAGAUGAAAGUUCAAUUCUUUCUAGACUAA
RNAcentral lists this transfer RNA (71 nucleotides) under Millerozyma farinosa. RNAcentral describes it as "transfer RNA-Ile". It matches the Rfam family "tRNA". From Rfam's summary of the family: Transfer RNA (tRNA) molecules are approximately 80 nucleotides in length. Their secondary structure includes four short double-helical elements and three loops (D, anti-codon, and T loops). Lineage: Eukaryota; Fungi; Ascomycota; Pichiomycetes; Serinales; Debaryomycetaceae. The record is from RNAcentral.